This 179-nucleotide ribosomal RNA is filed under the name uncultured bacterium. RNAcentral describes it as "partial 16S ribosomal RNA". It matches the Rfam family "Bacterial small subunit ribosomal RNA", at positions 335 to 526 of the family's 1533-position model. The record is from RNAcentral.
ACUCCUACGGGAGGCAGCAGUGGGGAAUAUUGGGCAAUGGAGGAAACUCUGACCCAGCGACGCCGCGUGCGGGAUGAAGGCCUUCGGGUUGUAAACCGCUUUCAGCAGGGAAGAAGCGAAAGUGACGGUACCUGCAGAAGAAGCACCGGCUAACUAUGUGCCAGCAGCCGCGGUAAUAC